GACGAACGCUGGCGGCGUGCUUAACACAUGCAAGUCGAACGGAAAGGCCCUGCUUUUGUGGGGUGCUCGAGUGGCGAACGGGUGAGUAACACGUGAGUAACCUGCCCUUGACUUUGGGAUAACUUCAGGAAACUGGGGCUAAUACCGGAUAGGAGCUCCUGCUGCAUGGUGGGGGUUGGAAAGUUUCGGCGGUUGGGGAUGGACUCGCGGCUUAUCAGCUUGUUGGUGGGGUAGUGGCUUACCAAGGCUUCGACGGGUAGCCGGCCUGAGAGGGUGACCGGCCACAUUGGGACUGAGAUACGGCCCAGACUCCUACGGGAGGCAGCAGUGGGGAGUAUUGCACAAUGGGCGGAAGCCUGAUGCAGCAACGCCGCGUGCGGGAUGACGGCCUUCGGGUUGUAAACCGCUUUCGCCUGUGACGAAGCGUGAGUGACGGUAAUGGGUAAAGAAGCACCGGCUAACUACGUG
RNAcentral lists this ribosomal RNA (468 nucleotides) under uncultured bacterium. RNAcentral describes it as "partial 16S ribosomal RNA". It matches the Rfam family "Bacterial small subunit ribosomal RNA", at positions 28 to 507 of the family's 1533-position model. The record is from RNAcentral.